UUUGCUUCUCGGCCUUGGCUGAGAUCAAGUGUAGUACCUUUUCUUAUCAGUUUAAUAUCUGAUAUGUCCUCUAUAUGAGCUGGUAUUGCAGUACCUCCGGGAAUGGUGCACCUCCU
Pygocentrus nattereri (red-bellied piranha) is the source of this 116-nucleotide small nuclear RNA. Its record names the gene U2. It matches the Rfam family "U2 spliceosomal RNA". From Rfam's summary of the family: U2 is a small nuclear RNA (snRNA) component of the spliceosome (involved in pre-mRNA splicing). The record is from Ensembl. NCBI's taxonomy places the organism in Eukaryota, Metazoa, Chordata, Actinopteri, Characiformes, Serrasalmidae.